This 1253-nucleotide ribosomal RNA is filed under the name human gut metagenome. RNAcentral describes it as "bacterial SSU rRNA". It matches the Rfam family "Bacterial small subunit ribosomal RNA", at positions 247 to 1514 of the family's 1533-position model. The record is from RNAcentral.
AGUUGGUGAGGUAACGGCCCACCAAGCCGACGAUGGGUAGCUGGUCUGAGAGGAUGGUCAGCCACACUGGGACUGAGACACUGCCCAGACUCCUACGGGAGGCUGCAGUCGAGAAUCUUGGGCAAUGCGCGAAAGCGUGACCCAGCAAUGCCGCGUGUGUGAUGAAGGCCUUCGGGUCGUAAAGCACUGUCUCCCGUGACGAAAUUUGACGGUAGCGGGGAAGGAAGCCACGGCUAACUACGUGCCAGCAGCCGCGGUAAUACGUAGGUGGCGAGCGUUGUUCGGAUUUAUUGGGCGUAAAGGGUCUGUAGGAGGUUCGUUAAAUACGAGGUGAAAUCCCGAAGCUCAACUUCGGAACUGCCUUGUAGACUGACGGACUAGAGUACCGGAGAGGUAAGCGGAAUACCAGGUGUAGCGGUGGAAUGCGUAGAUAUCUGGUAGAACACCAAUAGCGAAGGCAGCUUGCUGGACGGAAACUGACUCUGAAAGACGAAAGCAUGGGGAGCAAACAGGAUUAGAUACCCUGGUAGUCCAUGCCGUAAACGUUGUCAACUUGAUGUGGGGGGAUUUAGUCCUCUCCGUAUCGAAGCUAACGCGAUAAGUUGACCGCCUGGGGACUACGGCCGCAAGGCUAAAACUCAAAGGAAUUGACGGGGGCCCGCACAAGCGGUGGAGCAUGUGGCUUAAUUCGAGGCAACGCGAAGAACCUUACCUGGUCUUGAAAUAUAUCGGACCGCCUGUGAAAGCAGGCUUCCCUUCGGGGCUGAUAUACAGGUGCUGCAUGGCUGUCGUCAGCUCGUGCCGUGAGGUGUUCGGUUAAGUCCGGCAACGAGCGCAACCCGUGUCACUAGUUGCCAUCAAGUAAUGUUGGGGACUCUAGUGAGACUGCCUGUGUUAAGCAGGAGGAAGGCGCGGAUGACGUCAAGUCAGUAUGGCCCUUACGACCAGGGCUGCACACGUGCUACAAUGGGGGGUACAAUGGGAUGCAAUGUCGCGAGGCGGAGCAAAUCCACAAAACCUCUCUUAGUUCAGAUUGCAGUCUGCAACUCGACUGCAUGAAGUUGGAAUCGCUAGUAAAGGCGUAUCAGCUACGACGCCUUGAAUACGUUCCCGGGCCUUGUACACACCGCCCGUCACAUCAUGGGAGUUGACUGCACCCGAAAUCGGUGAUCUAACCUGCAAAGGAAGAAGCCGCCUAAGGUGUGGUCGAUGACUGGGAUGAAGUCGUAACAAGGUAGCCGUAGGGGAACCUG